CAUGAAGUCGGAAUUGCUAGUAAUCGCAGAUCAGCAUGCUGCGGUGAAUACGUUCCCGGGCCUUGUACACACCGCCCGUCACACCAUGGGAGUCGGUAACACCCGAAGUCAGGAGCCUGACCUUUUUAGGAGGGCACUGCCGAAGGUGGGAUUGAUGACUGGGGUGAAGUCGUAACAAGGUAUC
Molecule: ribosomal RNA, 184 nt
Filed under: uncultured bacterium
Lineage: Bacteria
Description: partial 16S ribosomal RNA
Rfam family: Bacterial small subunit ribosomal RNA
Source: RNAcentral